Molecule: long non-coding RNA, 834 nt
Filed under: Panax ginseng (ginseng)
Lineage: Eukaryota; Viridiplantae; Streptophyta; Magnoliopsida; Apiales; Araliaceae
Description: long non-coding RNA (PGIN_LNC019198)
Source: RNAcentral
AUCUACUCAAUUCCAAUCUCAUCAUUGGUCAAAACAAAUUGUAAAUAUCUAACAGCUGGAAUCAUGCAAGAUGAACAUAAUAACUAACUAUUAUUUUUGAAUUUUUGAUUUGAAUUGUUUUUUUUUUGAUGAACCUAAACUAAAUUAACAACAUAUGCAAAAUAACAUAACAUAAACAUGAAACUAAACAUGCAAUAAUGAACUAAAGUAAACUCUUCCAAACUUAGCAAUUACAAUGUCCUCAUUGUAAGAAUAUAGCGAUAAGUAGAAGAGAACUUCCCUGUAAUCAGAUAAGCGUGAAGUGAUGUUGGCGAUGGUAGCGAUAAUCAUUUUCCUAUCCAUUGAACCUCCAAUACCUGCAAUGAAGAGAGACAACAUGGAUUAGAAUAACACUUUGGAAUAUAACAUGAUUCCUAUCUACUAAAUAAACUAGGAAAACAUAUAAAUAAAUAUAAAAAAAAAUUGGGUUACCUCCCAGUUAGCGCUUGAAUUACAGUCUUUCAGCCUGACUUUGUCUGGUCAAUGCAAUCCAUUUCCUCGUCGAUAAUUGAGGAACCCUCAAUCCAUCGGAAAUAAUGUAGCUUUUGGUAGGUUUCCAUUUGUGAAAGCCAUACCAUUAAAGUCACCUAGCUUGCUUUGUUUUGGUAUGAUCUCAUUCAAGAACGUCCAACACAUAGGUGUUUUCUCCAUUGUGUAUGUGAUCACUUUGGGACAUGGAAGCUCGUAACACACAAUGGGCUCUUCGUCUAUCUUCUCUUUCUCGUCCCACCAUGGAUUCAAAAUUGUACUCGAUCUUAUGUCAUAAAGAGCUUCGCCGACUACAUGACUACCAAU